GAGCCCUGGCUCCGCUCCUCCGCGGGCACUUUUCUCCGUGGCUCCCCGGAGGACUGGACUCUGGACCCGGUGUCGCUCUGCCAGGCUUUGGGGACGGGUUUGGUCCCGCAGCCGUCCGCUGCUGGAGGAGGCAACACGGGAGAGUGGCCUGGCAGGUGCCUGGGAGGCUGGGAUAUCCCUGCUCUGCCCGGCCGCCUCCCAAAAGCGCGAUUCCCGGCACCGGGAAGUCCCGGUCGCAGCUGGAGAACAAAGUACGGCCGGGGCGAUCGGCGGGGAGAAUGAGCAGGGCAACGUUUUGUUGUGCGUCGGGUUUCACAGAACCGAAAGCCGGUCCUCUUCCCCUGCAGGCGAGCGGAUAUAUGAAACACGUCCUUGCUCUCCUACCUGCAUCCCCUCUGGUUCUCUUAAUGAAAGGAUACAGCAGCAGACAGUGUCCCGAGGUAUUUUCAUAUAAUCCCCGCUGAAGACUUAGUAAGAUUCUCUGUACUGCAAAAUGCCAUUUGCAUUGUGGAAGUACAGUUGUGGUGAAAAGGAGAUUUUGGGCCAUCUGUGUUUCACAGGAGUCCCGUGGUGCUAACCUUGCACUGGGAACAGCAGGGAUGGACCAAAGGAUAGUGAAUAGUCCCCACACCUCUGCUCUCUAGGUUUUCCUGGAUACAAGAUGCUACCUUUCUACACCACAAACAAGGACAGCAGUUACUGGGAGACCGCCUCAGGAACCCAUCACCUAUGCAUAGGCUGCUGGGGGGAUCAAAUUCCAUCACAGCAGCCUCCAGGGAGGUCUCAGAAAAGGCUGAUUUCCUUAGCUGGUUCUUGCAAAAGCUGCACCAUUCUGCACACUUUUGGAUGGCAAUACAGGAUGCCAAAAACACUGUGCCACAGUCACACAUCCGAUUUUCCCUUACUCCAGUGCAUCCUGUGAUUUUCACUCUCCGAGCUGAUUUGGAACGUGAGCAGGUUUUUAGCAGAAAACCAGAUAGAGAUAUAGGAAAUACACAGCUAAUUGAUGACAUAUCUCCACUGAACAGCCUCGUUUAAACUCAUAACGAUGUAGUCCAUGCUGCCACCUACAUCUUCUGAUUCAGGUUUCUUGUGUACUGCAACUUUGAUUCGUAGGCAUCUUUCGCAGAAGGCAGCUCACAUUUUGUGAGGCUCCACGAGGGACCACAGGCAGCUCUGGCUGCACUAGGGAAUGAAGCAAAGGGUUUCUCACCAGCUCAGCCACUUGUUUGGUUGCAGUGAGGAUGCCUAGACGCAGAUUAGGAACCAGCAGUGAAAUGUAAGUAGCGGCUGGAGCCUUGUCUGUGUGAAGGAUUCUGCCAGCACAGCUGACCGCUGACAGCAGUGGAAUAUUUUGCUCUAGUUCUCUAGAGAAAUCAAAGUCCAUAUUUUGUUUCUUGCUCUCUCUUCAUCUGUUGCUUCUCUCUCAUUAAAAGUCAGCCACACAAAGCACAUGGUUGCUCUCUGUGUUUUAAAAAAAUUAUGUUUGGGGUAAAAGACCAACAGCCAAAGCUGUUUUGAAGUCAGAGGCACAUAAACAAUACCUGGAACUAAGUAUAAUAAUAAUAAUAAUAGUAAUAAUAAUAAUAAUAAUCCUUUUGUUUCAUAAAUAUGCACAUUGCUAUUCUAUUUCAUUUUGACACAGCACAACUUCUGAGAAUGUGCCUGAUGAAUAUUUGGGGGAGCUCUGCCUUCAGCUGCAGUGGCGUAUGGCAGCACUAAUGCUUCUGGCUUCUCCACUCUCUUAUGUAACCAAAAUCACAAGUUAGAGCCCAAAUUACAAAGCAUAAGCAUGUGUAUAAUAUUAAGCAUACAAAUGGUGCCUGAAAUUACUAUCCUUUUCAUGUAGGUCUGUUUUUAAUCUGUUAGAAUUUUUGCUUCUGCAGCUUUAUUGAUUUCAGUGUCCGCUGAUGCAGUUCAUAACGCAAUCAAGCCUAAACCCUUGAAAACCCCGCUGUGAAGACAGUAACCCAAACUUAACUAAGGCCAAAAUAACUCUGGCUACAGGUAGGGAAAGUUCAAAUGACUUUUAUACCUCGAGUGUAUCCUGUAUCAAGAUGCUAUAGCAAGCAGAACACCAUAUCCCCCUGGCUGCCUUGGCAACCAGUCAGAGUGGAAGAUUUUUGCACCCCAGCCCAAGGCAUGGGUUUAUCAUCACCUUCCUUUGAGUUUUCCCUCUUUCUCAGAGACUAUUUUUGGCCAUUACCAUGCUGAUCUUGCUGGAGUUUUAAGGUGUUGGAUGCUGAUGCAGCGAGUGGCUCUUGUAUCUGUUUAAUCCGAUAACAUAACUCUUUUUUAAUCUCCAUGUCUGGGUCACAGGGUUUAAAAAAGACACUGGGCCAAAUCCCCAGCUUGGCUACAACGUGUGGAAAUCUACUGAGAUGGCACGAAAGUCAGGAGAGAUUCACUGUAUUUGCACCCGGGUAAAGAGGUCUCAAGGGGCAGGGAUGUGAGAGCCAGAUUUCAGAUGGAUGAAAGGGUAUGGAAGAGCUAAUUCAGAUUUCCGUAAGGAGAAACCUUUUUUUCAUUGUUUGGCUGUUAGAGGAAACACGAUGUUUCAUGGACGCAGGACCAAAAUGGAAAAAGAGAAGAUUUUGCAGGGAUUGGGAAGAUUUUACAAAUAAACAUUAAAAUUAAAAAAACCCCCAACAAGUUCAUCCAGGUACGAAGUCCAGCAGAAAAGUAGGAGAGAAAUGGACUUCACUGUCUAUAAAGGAUUGUGUAAGCAAGAAUGGCAAAAAGAAGGUCUGAAUAAGUCCAUUGCAUUAAUGAUUUUCUAUACAUGACUUUCCUAUACAAAGUUACAUGGGGUCAGUCUUUGGAGUUCCCCUGUACAGCAGAGGAUCCUGAGCCUGAAAAAGGGAAGCAGAUUUUGUAACAGAUUUGCAUAUCAUGGAGUGACUCUGGAUUGCAGAUUUUAAGCAUUACUAGAUUGGAGAAUAAAUUGUUGCUAUUGCUGUUACAUACCAGGAUAUGUACCUGAUCCACACAAUCCACUAAGCUACUGUAGUUUUAGUCCGUGUUUAUUUUAGAUAAAAUUAUAGCCUGGACAGUUAAUUUUUCUUAGUCUGUCCAUAUAAAUCAUAUACAAAUAAAGUAUCAAGCGGAAAUCAAAAUAUGACCUGUGUUUUUGAAACACUUCCCAUCAUGUGAGCCUGCCAGUGAUAGAGCCCUACACCUGGUUUACAAGUCGAACAUAAAGGCAAUGAAAAACCACAGGUCUUCUUGAAAAGUACCCAGUUAAAUUCUCUUGCUUUAAUUCUCUGGGUGGCAUAUUUUGCUUAUAUUUGAGACUGCCUAGCCAUUAUGGGAUUGCCUGCACCAGUCCUUUCCUUACAUCAAGCUAAUUGCAAAUUAACUUGAGGCACUUAGCAAGACUGAGAGGCUGGAGCUGGUUCUUGCUGAGCACCGGCUGAGUUCGGAAAUGCCUGUUGCUUUACAGGGGCUGAUUCCUAAAGUGAGGGGCAAACUGAGGAACCAACCAGCCUGGAACCAAAGUGGUCACACUGGCUUUUGAAAAAAGUGAAUGUCUCAAAUUAACUGACAGUCAGCUACCUGGAAAUAAAAACCUCUCAUAUAUCCAAAGGUUUUCAUUAGGAUUUUCAAGAUCUCCUGAGCAAUUUAAAAUCUUUGUGAGGAAUGCACUAUAGAAUGAAAAAUAUAAGUAUUAUGAAAGAAUGUCUCUGAACUGAAAGCCUGCCAGUUUCAUAAAAAUGAGCUAAAAAAGCAAUAACAGGUACUCGGUCUCCUGCUGGAUGCUAUAUGAACUGUAUAUUUUGUAUUUUGAAAGUAACUCUAAAACAAUGUUUUUUUCUUCACUAUUGCUGUUGGGAAGAACUGUAGAAGAACUAUGUAUAAAUGAGAUUAAAGUAAUCUAAUUUAAAAAAAUAAACAAUGUGCUUUCAUCUUCAAUUCA
Molecule: non-coding RNA, 3916 nt
Organism: Cyanistes caeruleus (blue tit)
Lineage: Eukaryota; Metazoa; Chordata; Aves; Passeriformes; Paridae
Source: RefSeq, a predicted model, not a curated record